Molecule: ribosomal RNA, 120 nt
Organism: Gorilla gorilla gorilla (western lowland gorilla)
Lineage: Eukaryota; Metazoa; Chordata; Mammalia; Primates; Hominidae
Source: Rfam
GUCUGCAGCCAUACCACCCUGAACACGCCUGAUCUCAUCUGAUCUCAGAAGCUAAGCAGGGUCGGGCCUGGUUAGUACUUGGAUGGGAGAAAUUACAAGAUUAAAAAGUAAUCGUGAGUA